GUUGGCUGCAAUCGUCUCGUUAUUAACUCUGACAACAUGUAACCCAUUGAAACAAUGAAGACCGGAGGACAUUCCGCAGGAGCGGCGGCCACGGUUUUUGAUGAUUGCUAUUUUAUAGCUUGCAGUUUUCCUCUUACUAGUUUUGAACAUUGUAAUAGAGAAGCGAAUAAAGUAGCUCAUGAGCUUGCGAGUCUUGCAAAAUAUUCUUUCACAAGGGAUUGGAUGGAGGAACCUAUGGAACAAAUUGUAUCUCUUGUUAUAGACAAUGUAACCUUUAUUUCUAAUUAA
RNAcentral lists this ribosomal RNA (288 nucleotides) under Triticum aestivum (bread wheat). RNAcentral describes it as "partial small subunit ribosomal RNA". The record is from RNAcentral. Lineage: Eukaryota; Viridiplantae; Streptophyta; Magnoliopsida; Poales; Poaceae.